AUGUGCAAUGGCUUGUGGUGGACAAUGCAACGGCAUUUGCAGUGCCGAAACGGGAAGUUGCGCCAGUUGAUAAUGUUCAAGCACCUGAUGCGCCAGC
This 97-nucleotide transfer RNA is filed under the name Escherichia coli. RNAcentral describes it as "tRNA-Ala(tgc)". The record is from RNAcentral. Lineage: Bacteria; Pseudomonadati; Pseudomonadota; Gammaproteobacteria; Enterobacterales; Enterobacteriaceae.